Molecule: long non-coding RNA, 21555 nt
Filed under: Zea mays
Lineage: Eukaryota; Viridiplantae; Streptophyta; Magnoliopsida; Poales; Poaceae
Description: long non-coding RNA (ZMAY_LNC002173)
Source: RNAcentral
AGAGAGAGAGAGAGAGAGAUCAAAUAGACUUGAAGGACAUGAGCUGGCGUUUUUUGGUGGAGUUUGGCAACGGAUCAAACACAACUGCUUGGUAAGACGAUGUUGGAUCUUUGGUUGCGAGGUUGAGCUUGUAGUUGGUGCCGGCGACCACCUGUUCCAUGCCACUGACCACCUCGGCGAACUGCAAGCUCUCGCCGGUCUGCCUGUUGUGCUCCUUGACAGCCCAUUCGCCGACACCCUGGACAUAUGGGUCCUUGACGUUCUCUAUUUUGACAUACUAUCCGCUCAGCGUGGUGACACCUGCAGCUCUAGCAGACCUGCAGAUGACCACUACACCAAAAUCAUACACUUCCUACGGUUUUUUAACUUCCUACAAUUUUUAUAAUAAACCGUAGGAAAUAAAUAACUUCCGAGAGACAACUGGUAGCUCUAGGAAAUAAACAUAACUUCACAUGCUGACCCGUGCGUUCUGUCAAGCGAGCCGUUAACUUCCUAGAGGCAGCCGUAGGAAGUUAGCAUGGUCAGCUAACUUCCUAUGGCCUCCUCUAGGAAGUUAGCUUUUAGUUGCUGAUCUGCGGUUGUGGUCAAACAAAAAGCUAACUUUCUACUGCUGACACUAGGAAGUUAGCAUGGGUAGCUAACUUCCUACGGCCUCCUCUCGAAAGUUAGAUUUCAGCUUUUGACCAGUCAAACGAAAAGCUAACUUCCUAUAGCUGGCUUUAGGAAGUUAGCAUGGGCAGCUAACUUCCUACGGCUGGCUUUAGAAAGUUAGCGUGGGCAGCUAACUUCCUACGACCUCCUCUAGGAAGUUACUUAACUUCCUAGAGUACAUGCACAAACUCUAGUAAGUUUUGUAACUUCCCCUCUAGGAAGUUACUUAACUUCCUAGAGUACAUGCACAAACUCUAGGAAGUUUUGUAACUUCCUACGGCUUUACUCUAGCAAGUUAUAUUUUUUAUAUUAAACAUCUACUUAACCUUAUCCUCUUCUCUCCCCUUUCUCACUCCCGUGUCUCUUCCACCAAAUCGAAGCCGCCGCCGUCGCACGUUGCUCCCACCCGCCGCACACCUGCUCCCACCCGCCCCGGCCUCGCCCGCCAUGGCCGCCCCCGCCACCGGCCGCCCCCACCGCGGCCGCCCAAGCUCGCACCCGCUGCGGCUACCCCUAGCCCCGGCCCCGCCCGCCGCGGCCGCCCCCGCCCCUGGCCCCGCCAGGGGAUCCACGCCGAGGACGACUACCCGUACCUCAUGGAAGAAGGCUGUUGCAAAGAGAAACAAGUUCGCACACAAAAAUCUUCACAUGUGAACUGGAUGAUACUAGGAUGCAGGGUUCUAAUCCUUUGCUCUGGCGUGCGUGUUUAGCCCCAAGUUGAUGUCGUCACUAUAACUGGGUACGAGGAUGUCCUAGAGAACAGCGAGAUCAGCCUGCUGAAAGCGUUGGCCCAUCAGCCUGUCAGCAUCGGCAUAACUGCAGGGAGUAGGGACUUCCAGUUCUACAGAGGGGUAAGUAGAACUGACUUGUCUGUAGUAUGGUUGGUUUCAGAUGGUUUCAUCACUAGCUGUCACAGAAGGGAAGUAACAUGUGCGUGUAUACCGAUCGUCUGGCUGGCUGCACUGUAGGGGGUGUUUGACGGGGCCUGCAGCGUCGAGCUCCACCAUGAGCUGACGGCCGUCGGGUACGGCUCGUCGUAUGGCCAGAACUACAUCACCAUGAAGAACUCGUGGGGCAAGAACUGGGGGGAGCAAGGCUACGUCAGGAUAAAGAUGGGCACCGGGAAGCCAGAGGGUGUCUGCGGAAUCUAUACCAUGGCCUCCUAUCCCUUGAAAAAUGCAACACGCUGGGGUACCUAAUUUUUUUGUAAUGAGUUUGUUCGAAAGUAUUAUUUUUAAUAUAAUCCACAUGGCAAGAUGCCUUUUUACCAUUGCUGUCAAGAUCCCAUACUUGAUUUCCCAAAAUCCAUGUUACACUCACCACUCCAGCACGAUAGGAACAACUAUAUAUUGUGAUCUAUCUACACGACUGUCUUGGAAGGCGGUAUAUAAUUGCGCGGCCAAGUGGUAACCAAAGUAUGGUCAGUUAAUCGGAACAACGUGCUCGUCUUCCUUUAACCUCCGCUCCCAAUCUCACCGGCAGGUGUUAAUCAAGUAUUGCUAACGAAGGAUUCACUAUGUUUGGUAGUGAAGGGCGAUGUCCGGAGAGUAAGAACGAGGCGACACAGUAUGGACUCGAUAUGACCGAGCAACAAUAUCUUGAGGUAAUUGAUGUUUUUGCUUGUGUUGAAAAAAUCUCCAUUGCUUCUAGAUAUUACAGUUACUUAUAAAUGAAUUGUGUUCAUGCAGCAUUCGAUUCCAUGGAUAGCUGCCAAUGAUGCUGCUUGGCGUGCGUUUUGUCGUUACUGGGCUUCGGCUGAAUUCAAGGCAAAGUCUGUGCGACACAGUUCUAAUCAUGGAACCGAGUCAUAUCACAAGUAUGGAGGUGAUGAUCACUUUCGUUUGGCAAAACGAAUGGUAAGUACAAUUUAAUCCAUUUUUGUUGAUUGUAGUUGACUUCCUAUAAUUUUUUGUUAUAAUGUUUGUCAAAUGUACAUAUAGGAAGCUAGCACUGGUGCAGUGCCUAGUGAUGUUCAAAUAUACCUUAGGGGGCACAGAGGACCAGAUCCUGCAAAUCUAGAUGUGUUGUACAGCCAAAAGCAACAGAUUGUGUGGUGAGUGUUUUGAAAUGUUUGGUAGGUUCUGUUUAUAUAGAUUUUUGUAUGUAAGAUUGCAUUGUUCUUUUGUAUGAGGCUGCAUAUGGUGAGGCGAUGUCUAGUCAGCAUGGACCAAACUAUGAUUGGAGGACCUCACAUAUUGAUCCUCAGGUUGUGUAUGCAAGUGGUGGAAAAGCUCAUGGAAGGUGCAGACUCUACAUAUCUUAUAUUGUUUCAUUGGUUGAGUGCAAUACAUAUAUUCUUAAUCUGUCGUGAUGUUACUUGUUUUGUAGGUACACAAUGUUUGCUAACGUCAUCGACUCGAGCCAGGUGAGGGUUCAGCGUGGAGGUUCGUCGUGGUCUGCUGCUCGUAGCUCCCGUCUCUCCACUCAAGAUCCAGCAGAAGUGGAACAACUGCGAGAAGAACUUAGGCGACAUCAGGAUUUCUUGAAGCAACAAGCUGCGCAACAUGAAUAUUAUGCUACACAGAUUCAACAACAGCAAAACACUCAUACAAGUAAGUUUAAAAGAUAAUAGCUUUCACUUUAAGAUAUGUAUUGAUUUAAAACGCUGAUGUGAAUGAGUUCGACAAAUUUGUAGCAACUAGCACAGGCUCAAGGGAUACACGUCCUGGUGCCCCCCCACCACCACCUCAUGUUCAUUAUCCUUGGUCUUCACCUCCACCUACACCUACAUCUCCAUCUACCGAACAUCAGGUAUGCAAAUUCAUCAUCAUUUACUUUUUGUUACUUAUAUUAUGAUGUAACUUAGCAAAUAUCAUUUGUACAUGUAUAUUAGACCCCUCCAGCCAUCUUGCCGACGCAUGAACGAGAAGACGGGUUAGACUUUGUUAAAACCCUCUUCGCUAGUGGAGGUAUCGACCAUCACUCGUCACUGUAACCCGAUGGUGAUCGGCGACCGUGAGCUUCCAUGUUAUUGUGCUUUGAUACUUGAGACUUUUAUUAUGACUAUCUAUGAGAUAUUGUCUCUUAUUAGUACUGGAUGAUGAGAUGUGUCUUAUUAUGACUAUGGAUGAGACUUUUGUGAUGUAAUUAAUAAGACUAUGGAUUUAAAUAUUGUUAUGUGAUUGUGUGUGAGAUGUUUUAUGUGAAAAUAUGUUGUGCUAUAUAGUUGUUGAUAUAUUUGUUAUGUUGUGGACUGUGACGUAAAAUAAAAAUAAACAACAUUUGUAAUGCUGGUCAAAUUAACUUCCUAGAGGCUUAUUGGGCCGUAGGAAGUACGGUCAGCCGUAGGAAGUUAGUCGUAGGAAGUUAGUCAGCUGACGGCGCUGACGGCGUGAAGCUACUAACUUCCAAGAAUCUACUAACUUCCGAGAGGCUUCUUUGGCUGUAGGAAGUUAGCUAACUUCCUAGAGGGCUCUAGGAAGUUAAGCUAACUUCCGACAAAAAAUUUCCGAGAGCCAAACUUCCGACGGGGUAGCUUAACUUCCGAGAGUUUAGCUAACUUCCUAGAGUUUAGGCCUAACUUCCUAGGGCCGGCUACGGAUGAUCCAGUGACAGCAGCGGUGGCGGCCAACAACACCAUGGCUCGGCGACGCCCACCGGCGUCGUGACGAGCUCCGUCGGCCACGGAUGCUUGCUCUUCCUGCAGGUGCUCGUUAGAUUUGGCGGCCGUGGCCCUGACCACGACCAGGCUAAGGCGGCGGCGAGGAGCGGCUGUCGCCGUGAUGGGGACGCUCAUCAACGGGUUCGUGCUGAGGAAUGCCAUUCUUCUUGGCUUGAUGGAUGUCUAUGGAUUGUGGUUCUUGUGCUGCUGGCUUGCUGCCUUCGGAUGGAGGGGAAACUGUUGGUAUAAAUAUAGGCUACAGCAGAUGCUGAACCGUUUGUAUCGUGGAUUGUUUCCAUUAAUUUCCAACAUUUGUUUUGUACUAGAAUCUCUGUACAUGCAUGUACUGCCAGCUCAAACAACCAACAAAAUACGAGUACAACCAUGCUAUUUCGUCCAAUAUAUGCUCUACUACACAUUCUGCAUGUUUUUGUGGUUAUCUGUUGUGGCCCUUUCAUCACAAAAAAAGCUGAGUGACACCUUGUCGUUUCUAUACUCAAGAACACCGUAUCGAUCGGUUGUCUCGUUUUGUACACGUGAAACAUAACAUGAAUAGAACGUAUCCGUACUAACAUUUGGGCUGGAAUAUGGAAUGCACUUCUACAUGCAAAAACCAUUUCCAUCAAGGUUGCUCGAUACAAAUAAGUCGCACUACAGUAACUGGACAUUUUUUCUACGGCAAGCCAAUGAAAUAAACUUAUUACAAUGUGUUUGGUUUGAGGCAUCUUCUCACUCCUUGUUUUUUAAUUUGGUUUGUGGAAUCGAAUUAAUUGAUCCAUCACCAUUCCAUUCCUAAUAUAGGCUAAUCUCUACUAAUCUAUAUGCCUCUAUUGUGGGCGUCCACCACCUGUAUUGGUGAAGCAUGCCCACUGGACUCAAUCCCCCACCGCGAUCCACACCUCGUCGCACGGAAGGCGCCAUCCACUCGGCGCGAUCCACGGUCGAGCCCGCCCAUACCGCCCGAGACCUGCUCUACCCCGCAAUCCACUCCCCCACCGAGCUACUUUCCUCCUUCUCAGCGAGAUCCACGCUGCUCUUCAAAGGAAGGACGGGGACCUGCUCUAUCCCACGAUCCACUCCCCCAUCGAGAACAGCAACAACAACAACAUGAUUACCCGCAGUUUGGGAGCUCAGAGGCGUGUACACCCCAUUGUGCCCGCGCCCCCGUCUCCCCGCCCGCCCGAGACAUCCACAUCGUCCCACCCCCAUCGCCGGCACGAUGACCGGAGGUCCCCCCAGGCGAGGGCACACGCCCGCCCUGACGCCCCCCGCCUCCACCGCGUGUCCGCACCCCUGCCCACAGAGGUCACCGCUGCGCGCCAUCAACGGGCCUCCUUCCUCCCCCCAUGACUGCCGUCGUCACAACUGUCGUCUACCCCUCACGCCACAGCUCUUAAUCUUCCUCCCACUGCCCCUAUCGCCGGUCGCCGCUAUUCAUCUUGCUGGGGGCCACAACGCCAUCCUUGAUCGCGCACAGAGGCACACUCCAUCGAGGAGCGACAUGAGGAGAGAUGACGGGUGCGGAGAUGGCGUCGGUGUUGCUGCAAACAAUGUGGCUGAAGAGUGAGGUGGAUGCCACCAUCCGCGAUAACCCUCGACAAGGUCCUCGUUCUCUGAUUUGGUCAUGCCACCAACGUCGAUUGCCUCCACCAAGAUGACAUCGUGAGUGCCCUCUCUCCUAUCCCUCCUCUAUUCUUCAACCCCUCCAUGAGGGCUACUGUUGAGCUGAGCGAUCCUCAGGCCUUUUAUCCCCUCGCACGAACAUGCUCUCUCCCCCUUUAGUCAACGUACUCAUAGUCUGGUCUGCUCUGCAAUUUUGAAUUGAAUCAGUGGUGGUUAGUUUUGAGAUUGUCUGGUUGUUGCUGUUUGCGAGGAUGUGGUACUUGUAGCCUGUAUUAGUAUUUUUAAAGGAAAAUCAGCAAAACACCUAAACACAAGAACCUAGAUGACUAACACUAAGUAACUAUGGAGCUCACCACAUGUUAUUGUGCCCGCCAAACCUCUGAUUGCAUUGGAAAUAUAACUUAAAAAUAAAUUGUCUAUACUUGGUGUGAUGCCAUCUUCAUCUUUGGCAGAGGUACUGAAGCCACUGUCUAGAAAUAAAAUAAUUCCACUGUCUAGAAAUGUAUUUCUGUUUAUGAUGACCACCAACUGAUUUUACGAGUAAACUACUGGUCCAAUAGGUACUGAAGCAAUUGAAGGGCAAAGCAUUAAAGAGAGCGGUGCUGACUAAAUAAAAAUUGCAAGAGCAGAUUGCGCAGAGAAACAUUGCAAGGAAGAUUAUGAAGUUUGGGCAUCGUUCUGAUGGAUGAACCUUCUGGUACAAUGUGUAGACCAUGCGAACCGGAACGAUAUGAAGAAUCGUGAUUAUACGCUCACCCUCACAACAAAUGAUGGUAAAAUGAGAUUUUUGCCUGAGGGCAAUUGCACAUUUUGAAGACUAACAAAAUAGCCAUCUCUGGAUGUAGUGUUCUGCAGGGUAGGGGGUCCAAGUUGACUCACCAGAUGAAACUUGCAUUUCUAGUUGUGUAAGAAGCAAUGUCCAUGCAGGGUAGGGGUCUCUGUUAUUGUGCUUGCAUUUCUCGAGUUGUUUGUAAGAAUGAACGAUUAUGCACCCUCGCGUCCAGAUAGAAAUGCCAAAUUGAUUUACUGGUCCUACAUCAUAAUUCAUUCCUAAGAAUGCACCAUAGAGUAGAAUUCUUGAUUUCCCUUUUCUUUUUUAAGAGGAACGCAAGAUCAUUGAAUGAACGGAGGUCUAUUUGUUUUUUGAUGGUUCUAGGACGCUAAGCAAUUGGAGUUCCUCAAUGAAGUUCCUAAAAGAGUCAAGUAUUUUGCAUGUUCCUAAAAUUGCCAAGCCAUUCAAGAGGACUUCUACUGCUACACCGCACAUUAAUCGUUGAGUCGCAGGAGUGGGCGUAGAGUUCAGCAUGCGGGAUUUGGGCUGCAAAGCGAACAAAAAAGGCAUAAAAUCUCUGCAAAUCAUUGCUGAAACAGAAUGUAUAGAUCACCAGGCUCUUGGAACACCCGCCUUUUUUUGUUAGAUAGGAUGCUCGCUACGGUCAAGAUCAUUUUCAUGUUAAAUUACUUUAUUAUUUCUAAAUAAAUAUAAUAGUAUGAUUCAGCCAGUCAUUGAGGUUGCUGGUACGACUUUCUGUCUUUCAUCCAUAAAAACCAAGGCUUUGUGUUUUUUAUUGCAAAGAGGGGAGUAGUUAAUUUCUUCUCAUCAUGGUGACUUCACCCACCUGUGGAUAAGUCGAAUUCCUGCUAGCUCAGCACUGACCCCUUCCUCGUAUCAUGUGUUUACACACGCCUGACUCUCCUGUUGUUGAGCUAGACCAAACCCAUCUCUUGUAGGUCCUGUUGGUGCUGAGGAUCCUCUAAACAACAUGUCAUCGUCUCAGUUCGAGCCUGUGGUAAGAUAAGGAGCGCUGGUAGCCUGAUAGCUCUCCAUUCUCUGAAGCUAAAGCUUCCUUUUAGCUCAUUGUGUAUUUGCUCUGCUUUCAAGAGAAGGUUGUUGUCAACGUAUGAUCUGACAAGAGCUUUGUCUGGCCAAUUGUAGAGCUUGAUACCUUGAGACAACCUGGCAAGUGAGCUGCAACUAACACACAUGGAUGGACAUUUUAUUCAAGUGUAUCAUAAAGUUUAUUAUUGUGUAGAACUUUUUGCUUAUGGUGAUGUUUUACACUACUGCCACACUAAUAGUCAUGUCCUUGAUUCUUUAAAUACUUUGAUCAAAGCAUGUACAGGUCACUGCUACUAUCUUAGUUCUCAAAGGUAUAAUAUAAGUAUGAAUACCCUUGAGGAAGUUAUGUUUUGUAAAUGGUUGUCUUUGUAGGGUCAUGUUUUUACUAUAGUCGUGCUAUACUUGCCUCUGAAGGUGGAUAAAAAUUGUGAUCAUGUAUUGUGAAAUAUCAACUGUAUAGUAUUCAUCAUAUUUGUUUGAGAUUAAUGUCACGCUUAGUGUUCGUGCCAAUAGAUAGGUUCGUAGUUGAUGAUAAUAUGUAUUGUUUGUUUUCAUGUAAUCAUUAUAUACUAACUUUGUAUCGAAUAAUUUGUAUAUCGUCGCAGCGCACGGGCACGUACCUAGUAAUUAGUAAUAAUCUGAUAAAUGAGUCCAUUUCAGCAAAUUUAUGGAAUAGACCUAUGAUGCACCACCUCAUCUAUAAUGGAAUAAUUCUUCAAACCAAACAACCUUUUAGUUUGUUUUGUUGGCCUGCGAAACUGACAAAAUAAAGGUUCUUUUCGUUAGUUUGCCAAUUUGCUAAUGCAAUAUAGUGUUUUUCAUCAGCUAUUCAUGACCAAUAAAAAUAACAUUAUUGACGAGAUCUAAAUUUUUAAAAUUAACAUAGUUUCAUCACCACAGUAGGACAAUAAAAACAUGUUUUUUGGUAUAUCGGCCAAUCACUGCGAUGAGAACCGGCAGUGUUGCUCUCUACGGAAGCGCGGACGGUCCGCGGCGAGGGGCCGAAUGGUUCGUGACCUCACUACCGGACUCACGUUCUUUGUCGAGUGUCUCAGACACUCGGUAAAGGCCAUUUUACACUCGACAAAGAAUACUCGGCACACACUUUAUCGGCAAACGGUUCUUUGUCGAUUACUUUUUUCGGACACUCGGCAAAGACUUUGUACACCGUAUCCGUAUCGGCAAAGGGUUCUAUACUCAAGAACACCGUAUCGAUCGGUUGUCUCGUUUUGUACACGUGAAACAUACCAUGAAUAGAACGUAUCUGUACUUUUGGCAUAUGGAAAAAUCAAUUUCGUUGAUUUUGUUUCCUGUACUUAAAACGAUUCUUAUCAAAGUUCAAGUCGCCUUUUAAUAUGGAAUGCGCUUCUACAUGCAAAAACCAUUUCCAUCAAGGUUACUUGAUACAAAUAAUGAUGAUUUCUUGGCCAACUGAAUUAAGUCGCACUACAGUAACUGGACAUUUUUUCAACGGCAAGCCAAUGAAAUAAACUUAUCACAAUGUGUUUGGUUUGAGGCAUCUUCUCACUCCACGUUUUUUUAUUUGGUUUGUGGAAUCGAAUUAAUUGAUCCAUCACCAUUCCAUUCCUAAUAUAGGCUAAUAAUUAGUAAUAAUCUGAUAAAUGAGUCCAUUUCAGCAAAUUUAUGGAAUAGACCUAUGAUGCACCACCUCAUCUUUAAUGGAUUAAUUCUUCAAACCAAACAACCUUUUAGUUUGUUUUGUUGGCCUGCGAAACUGACAAAAUAAAGGUUGUUUUCGUUAGUUUGCCAAUUUGGUAAUGAAAUAUAGUGUUUUUCAUCAGCUAUGCAUGACCAAUAAAAAUAACAUUAUUGACGAGAUCUAAAUUUUGAAAAUUAACAUAGUUUCAUCACCACAGUAGGACAACGAAAACAUGUUUUUUCGGUACUAUCGGCCAAUCACUGCGAUGAGAACCGGCGCCGUUGCUCUCUGCGGAAGCGCGGACGGUCCGCGACCAGGGGCAGAACGGUCCGUGACCUCACUACCGGACUCACGUUCUUUGUCGAGUGUCUCAGACACUCGGUAAAGGCCAUUUUACACUCUGCAAAGAAUACUCGGCAAACAUUUUAUCGCCAAAGGGUUAUUUGUCGAUUUCUUUUUUUUGGACACUCGGCAAAGACUUUGUACACCGUAUCCGUAUCGGCAAAGGAUUCUAUACUCAAGAACACUAUAUCGAUCGUGAAAUCUCGUUUUGUACACGUGAAACAUAACAUGAAUAGAACGUAUCCGUACUUUUGGCAUAUGGAAAAAUCAAUUUCGUUCAUUUUGUUUCCUGUACUGAAAACGAUUCUUAUCAAAGUUCAAGUCGCCUUUUUUCUGGCGUGAAACACGAACAUUUGGGCUGGAAUAUGGAAUGCGCUUCUACAUGCAAAAACCAUUUCCAUCAUGGUUACUCGAUACAAUGAUGAUUUCUUGGCCAACUGAAUUAAGUCGCACUACAGUAACUGGACAUUUUUUCGACGGCAAGCCAAUGAAAUAAACUUAUUACAACGUGUUUGGUUUGAGGCAUCUUCUCACUCCUCGUUUUUUUAUUUGGUUUGUGGAAUCGAAUUAAUUGAUCCAUCACUAUCCAUUCCUAAUAUAGGCUAAUAAUUAAUAAUAAUAUGAUUAAUGAGUCCAUUUCAGCAAAUUUAUGGAAUAGACAUAUCAUGCACCAGCUCAUCUAUAAUGGAACAAUUCUUCAAACCAAACAACCUUUUAGUUUGUUUUGUUGGCCUGCGAAACUGACAAAAUAAAGGUUGUUUUCGUUAGUUUGCCAAUUUGCUAAUGAAAUAUAGUGUUUUCCAUCAGCUAUGCAUGGCCAAUAAAAAUAAGAUUAUUGAUGAGAUCUAAAUUUUAAAAAUUAACAUAGUUUCAUCACCACAGUAGGACAACGAAAACAUGUUUUUUCGGUACUAUCGGCCAAUCACUGCGAUGAGAACCGGCGGCGUUGCUCUCUGUGCAAGCGCGGACAGUCCGCGGCCAGGGGCCGAACGGUCCGUGACCUCACUACCGGACUCACGUUCUUUGUCGAGUGUCUCAGACACUCGGUAAAGGCCAUUUUACACUCUGCAAAGAAUACUCGACAAACAUUUUAUCGGCAAAGGGUUAUUUGUCGAUUACUUUUUUUUGGACACUCGGCAAAGACUUUGUACACCGUAUCCGUAUCGGCAAAGGGUUCUAUACUCAAGAACACCGUAUCGAUCGUGAAAUCUCGUUUUGUACACGUGAAACAUAACAUGAAUAGAACGUAUCCGUACUUUUGGCAUAUGGAAAAAUCAAUUUCGUUCAUUUUGUUUCCUGUUCUGAAAACGAUUCUUAUCAAAGUUCAAGUCGCCUUUUUUCUGGCGUGAAACACGAACAUUUGGGCUGGAAUAUGGAAUGCGCUUCUACAUGCAAAAACCAUUUCCAUCAUGGUUACUCGAUACAAUGAUGAUUUCUUGGCCAACUGAAUUAAGUCGCACUACAGUAACAAGACAUUUUUUCGACGGCAAGCCAAUGAAAUAAACUUAUUACAACGUGUUUGGUUUGAGGCAUCUUCUCACUACUCGUUUUUUUAUUUGGUUUGUGGAAUCGAAUUAAUUGAUCCAUCACUAUUCCAUUCCUAAUAUAGGCUAAUAAUUAAUAAUAAUAUGAUAAAUGAGUCUAUUUCAGCAAAUUUAUGGAAUAGACAUAUCAUGCAUCAGCUCAUCUAUAAUGGAACAAUUCUUCAAACCAAACAACCUUUUAGUUUGUUUUGUUGGCCUGCGAAACUGACAAAAUAAAGGUUGUUUUUGUUAGUUUGCCAAUUUGCUAAUGAAAUAUAGUGUUUUCCAUCAGCUAUGCAUGGCCAAUAAAAAUAAGAUUAUUGACGAGAUCUAAAUUUUUAAAAUUAACAUAGUUUCAUCACCACAGUAGGACAACGAAAACAUGUUUUUUCGGUACUAUCGGCCAAUCACUGCGAUGAGAACCGGCGGCGUUGCUCUCUGCGGAAGCGCGAACAGUCCGCGGCCAGGGGCCGAACGGUCCGUGACCUCACUACCGGACUCACGUUCUUUGCCGAGUGUCUCAGACACUCGGUAAAGGCCAUUUUACACUCGGCAAAGAAUACUCGGCAAAUGGUUCAUUAUCGACUACUUUUUCGGACACUCGGCAAAGACUUUGUACACUGUAUUCGUAUCAGCAAAAGGUUCUAUACUCAAGAACACCGUAUCGAUCGGUUGUCUUGUUUUGUACACGUGAAACAUAACAUGAAUAGAACGUAUCCGUACUUUUGGCAUCUAGAAAAAUCAAUUUCGUUAAUAAUAUGUAUUUUGUCAAAGUAUCAACCACAAUCUUGUUUGUGGCGCACUAGUAGCCAUUUUGUGUGAUAAGCAGCAGGUAUAGGGUUCGAUUCUUGGGUUUGAUUCUUCAUUUCUUUGUAGUUACUUUUUCAACCUUUUUAGUUUUAACUAUCUCUAUUUUAUUAGUCUGCGUGGGUCUAGGGAUUUCUCCAAAGUUUUUAUUUUAAAAAAUGUUUAUGUUUUUUAGUUUACGUGGGUUGGUGUUUUCUCUUAUUUUUUAUUUUAAAGUUGUUUCUAUGGGUUCGAUUCUUCACUUCUUUGUAGUUACUUUUUCAACCUUUUCAGUUUUAACUAUCUCUAUUUUUUAGUCUACGUGGAUCCAUGGUUUUCUCCAAAGUUUUUAUUUUAAAAAAUGUUUAUGUUUUUUAGUUUACGUGGGUUGGUGUUUUCUCUAAAUUUUUUAUUUUUUAAAGUUGUUUCUAUUUUCUAUGCGUGUUUUCUCCAAAUUUUUUAUUUUCAAAAUUGUUUUUGUCAUUUUUGCAUUGUUUGGUUGGUGUUUUCUCCAAAUUUUUACUUUUAAAAUUGUUACUAUUUUUAUAGUUUGAUUAUCAUUUUAGCUAUUCUUAUAUAACAAAUUACUCAUGAAUAUAUUAGAUCUAAGUCUAUAGUAAUAUAUUUAUAUAACAAUACAUGUGGGAAAUUCAAGCUUAAUCAAUUUUUAUUUAAACAUGAUUUCAUAUUCAAACUUAUUUCAUUGCCAUUUUGAUUUAUUUCAUUAUUUGUAGUGGCGUCUACAAUUUUGCUUUUUUAGGAAAUUCACAUGAGAAUUAUGACGACCAACAUUGUCAUGAAAUAGUGACACUUCCUGAUUGUCAUAAGAUUGAAAGAGUGUUCGUCACAAAUAUGACAACUUUCAUAUUUAUGACGAUUUUGCAUUGGUCUUAAUGACAAAGUUUUACUUUUCAUCACUAAAGUCAAUCAUCCCUACAAAACGUCAUAAGUAGGAGAAGCUUAUGACGUUUUGAUCUAUUAUCACAAGGUAUUCGUCAUAGAAGGCUAUAUGUUGCAGUGUGCGCAAUGAAAUGUCGCCAAAAAGUUGAACAACCAAAAGUUUUAUGAUGUACAUUGGAUUACUUGGAUUAGUUAGAUCAUCCUUUUCACCAUCAUAUGUUUUCUUUCUUCCACAACCAAACUGAGAUAAAGUGCAUUGAUGUUAAAUCUGAAAACAAAGUAGCCCGAGAUUGAUCAUCUAGGUUGCACACAUUCAACAUAAACAACAAAGAGAGAUCUGUAUUGAUAAGGUAUACAUGAGGUCGACAAAGUCAAUUCAUCGCAAUGAACACCUCUCUGAUGGAUCCAUAAAGUAAUAACAUAAUGGGGGUACCAUAAGACAACAAAGGCCACCUAGAAUGUCGAAAGAUCUUGAAGAAAGAUUUGCUUGGCACCAAGGGUGCUAGAAGAGGUUUAGUCAUAAAAAGGGUAAAAUUGUUAAUAGAUUAUAUUUUCCAAUUAGAUAGAUAGAUCACUGAGUUUCCCAUGACCCCCUUUGUUUGAAACGUAUUCUACAAACCAUUUUCACAUUUCCCACAAGAUCAAAGGAGAUUCCAAUAAUUGACCUCGAGUCGGCAUGAAGACGUGCAACCGAGGUAUGUUUUCUAGAGGUUACAAUGAUCAACAAGGGGUUGAUCUCAUAAUCAUUGUUAGAAAACUAACCGAUAACCUUCACUGUUUGAACCCCAAUUAAUUCAUUAUUAACAUGUUGCCCUUUGUAGGAGUUGCAUCUCCUAAAAUCACAAUUUCUGGUACAUCAACUAUCAAAGAGGUGAUAUUGGCGUCGCCUAGAAAAUUUGAUAGUCCCAAUACGAGCAAUAAAAACAUACUAUUUAUGAGGACUACAUAAUGUUAGGGUAGCAAAUGUAGCCACAAUGCGACACACAACAACAAGAAGGAAAACACAUCCAAACGAUUAACACGGGUCAUAAAGAAUUGGGAUGAUAAGGUGAAAACAAGGCAAGAUGUGGAAUCUUCAAGCAUAUCGUCACAAUGGAAAGUUUGCAAUACCAUGUUAUAAAUUAAAUUUUGUUUUAAAAUACAAACCAUUACUUAUUUGCCAUCCUAGCAUGGAUGUAAUAAAUUGUGCCACACAUCUUGCCCCAUACAAUACAUAUUAUUUUUCUAACAAAACGUGACAUUCUCAAUGUUGGGUGAGAACAAUGAUGAAUAUGUGACCCAACUAGAGUUGGAUGUUGAAGGAUGUGGAUGGUUUUGGGACGCAACAACAGGAGGAGAUCCCUCCAACAACCUUGCAUAUCCCAAUAGCAUUCUCCCCCAAGACGGCACAUGUUGCUCCACACAACUGCUCAUUGCAAUUGUUAGAUGUGGAGCAUUGUUCCCCUCCUAAGAGGGCACGACCACCUUGGCUUGCUGGCAUGGUCGAAGCAAGAAGAGCUAAUAAUAUUGGAACAACGAGAACAACAAGAGUCUUCUUAGAGAACGCCAUGAAGCUCUAGGGAUGGCUUUUUUCAAGUAGAGGAUACUUAGUUCCUUGAUGACGCUUGUAUGCUUUCUGUUUUUUUGCACGUAUAGAAUUGAGUCUCCCUAUUGUUGUGGGGCUAUGAUUAUAUAGACUUGAGCAAUAACAAAUUAACCAUGAGCAAUCAAUUUCUGCUAUUUUACUUAGAGAUAUCAUAUCUUUUGUUUUUACUUGUAGUAGCAAUAUCAUCUAAUAUAUAUUACCCACUCAAUUUUUAUGUUAAUGACAAUGCUAUUUAGAUCAAAUCUAUACAAUUAAAGGUUUUUAUUGGCAUUUACAAAAAAAUUACCUAAAAAUGCCAUACCUAUUUUGAUCUUUGUCUAUCAUGUUUUAAUGAUAUAGAUUCAUUACAUAUUAAUCUGGCACUCAAAUGCACUUAUUAUCUACCAAAGCACCAUAUCAAUUUUGAUUAUCGAGAAUACUGUAUUGACCAAAAUUAGCAACACAUUAUUAUGAUUUAAUUGUCUAUUUGGAUCCAGCCAAUUAGCAAUUAUUAGGUUCUAGAAUUUGAGUGUGGUGGAGCCUUAUACAUCUGGCUAUUAGGUUAGUGUUGGUCUCUUGUUCUCAAAUACUGUGAAUCAAGAACAAGGCAACAUAAUUGUUAAAGAUUAGAGACCUUCGUCCUCCAAGGCAUCAUCUCCUUUCAGAUAUAAUGAUCUUCAGACGAAGGUCAUGAAGGACGCACCUUCAGCUUGUUCGAAGGUGUUGACGCGAGAGCGAUUACAAUCCAGCGUGAAGAGUAUGGGACGCAGCCCGGGUACAAUUACAUUUAUAACCCCAAUAUGUACACAUAAUCACAACAUAAACCAUCACGGAUUAACUAGCCUUUUUCUCUUUGGCUCGGCAUCAUGCUUUCACCUUUGUCGCCACCCGUAACACCAUGAAUUUGGGGGUAUAAAAUUUCUUUUCUAAUAUCCACCAAAUUCAGGUGUUACUCUCUCCUUUAGCGCUUUUCUUCUCUUUUUUAUAAAUAAUGGAGAGUUAUUUUAUACAAGUUUUUAGUGUAGUAAAAUGAAACCCUAAAAGAGUUUUGAUUAUUGCAUCAUGCUGGAGCAACCAUUUUUUUGAUGAUGAUUGUGCUUUAUUGUGCAUUCGUCUAGAUUCAUAAGGCAUCGUAUAUUUUAAAUUCAAAACAUAAAGCAAUUUUAAAUAGAAAGGGAAGAAGAGAAAUAGACAAAGAAAAGAAGAGGAACAUAAAAGAAAAAGCCCAGAAUUCUUUCCCCUUCAUUUUCCCCAAUCGUGGCCCGUUCCCCCUUCCUGGGUCACUCGGCCACCCCGGCCCACGUGCCUUCGCCUCCCCCCUGCAUCUUGCUCGCACUCCUAGGCCACUGCGCGCGUCCACGGCCCAGUUCCCCCGCAUCCCUGGCUUGCUCUCGCAGCUCGCGUGGCCGGCCCACCCCGCGCGGCCCACGUGCCUUCAUCCCUUCAGCCUGCCCCGCACCGGCCCAAGCCCCUCUCCCGCUUCCAUUCGGCCCAGCUGACUUGGGCCGCGGUGCCACGCGCCAGCGCACUCUAGACGCUCACGCUCCUGUGCCCCAGCGGCCCGCGCGCGCGUGGGCAACGCCCAGCCGAGCGUCGCUGGCCUAGUGCCGCUGCAAUUUGGCCCCACCUGUCAUCUCUUUCAACUACCUCCUCCUUUUUCUCAGCUGUGCACGUGCCUAUGUCUGCUAGAUCCGUCAACGUCGCGGUGAUUUCGCAACAGUAGUUCACGCCCAUCUCAUUGGCCCCGUUCUUCCCUCUCUUGCGCAGCCACGACAUCUCGCCGGCCCUCCCUGUUGCGCGCGGCUCGCCCAUGCAGCCCGAGCUCCCGUCUGUGCGCGGCCUGCGCAGCUGUUGCGCAUGACUCGGCCGUGCAGCUUGCAGGUGCAGCCGUUGCGCGCGGCCCUGCGUGCCCGGCGCGGCCUGCUUCGUGCGACUCAUGCGGCCAGCGUGGCGCGCAGCCGGCGCGGCUCGCUUGGUGCACCUGGCGCGCACGUCAGCGCGACCCGCUGCUCGCAGCCAGGCUGUGCUCCGGCGCGGCCCGUGCGUGUGCCCCCAGCGCGGCCUCGCGGUCGCGUCCGGCGCGACCCUUCCGUGUGCCCCCGUCGUGGCCUCACGCUCGCGUCCGGUGCGGCCCGUGUGUGUGCCCUCGGCACGGCCUGCAUGUGGUUGGCGUGCCCGCGACUCGCUUGCGCAUGCCCGGCGCAACCUCGUGCGCAUCCUGCGUGACCCCAGUGUGUUGUCAUUGCCAUCGUCGUUCAUGCCCGCAGCAGCACCGGCGUAAUCUGCGCGGCGUAGCGGCAGCCUCGCCAUCGCUUCGCGUCGUGCGCGCAGCACGUCCUCGUGCUUCGCCACAAGCUCGUCCGGACGUCCGCCGUCGUCGCGGGGUGAGCAUCGUCUACGCGUUAGUAACAUCGUUUUGCCAUGUCUCAUGUUUUAAAUAAUUAAUUAUGUUUUUGUUUAACUAACGUCGAUUAAUUAGACUUUUCAAUUAAACUAAUUUAUAGUUUUUAAGUUGCGCUUUAUAAAUGCACGUCGACGUGAUUAAUAUUAACUCAAACGUUCUGCCCUAAUGUUCAUUUAAUAUAAACACGACGUUUAUUUAGUUUAUCUCGCAUGUCGCGCACGCGGUUUUGCACGUGGUUACGUGCUGAUCCGUGUGUCGUUCGCGCACGUCGUCGCGUUGGUUCGCGCGUGUCGCGCGAUGUCGUGCGCUUCGUUUCGCACAGUGUCACGUGUUGUCACACAUCAUUCGUGUGGGUCACGCGUUGUUCACGCACGCUGUUCGCACGUGUGGCGCUCGCCGUCAGCGUGUUUGUUCGCGUGUCCGUUCCAUGUGUUACUCGCGUGUUGUUGCGUGCGUGGUCACGCGUCGUUCGUGCGUGUCGCACAUGCUGUUUCACAUGUGUCGCGCGACGUCUGCACGUGGUAAUAAAUUGUUUUUCGCUUAUAAAGACUCAUGUUAAUAACGUUAAUUCGUCAGGCCAUAUAUUUUAGAUACUUAACUUAAGGUUCGCUCCACUAAUAUUUAUUAGAUUAAUAUUCUAAUUAGAUUAAAUGUGUAGUGUUUAACUUGGGCUUUUAUAAUAAAUAUUAACAUGACUAAUAUUAAUUUAACUACUUUCUAUUUAGUUAACACUUGUUUAGUAUAAACAUGUCACCGAUUUAGUUUUUCUCGCAUGUCGCGCGUGUUGUUCAGCACGCGGUGGCGUGCUACUUCGCGCGUCAUUUGCGCUGGUCGCACGUGCUGUUUCGUGUGUCGUUAGCAUGUUAUGUCGUGCAUGUCCGCGCGUCGUUCUAUACGCUGUCGUGUUGUUUCGUGUAUCGUAAAUUCGCCUCGCGUAGAAUCUCUCGUGUUAAUUAAAUUACUUAUUUAACUGAUAGCUGUUAGUGUAACAGAUUAAUCGAAACUAAAUGGUAGAGAUUAUUUAUAAUUGAUAAUGUCGAAUUAAAUGUUAUAGUUAAUAUUUGUUUAACGUAAACGCGAUAACUUCUCGACUGUAGCUUGACCGUCGUGUUUCUUAUCCUCGCAUAACCGUAGAAGCACUCUCUAUUUUAUAUUGCUUGUUUUUAUGAUGUUUUAUCUUGUAUGGUGUAAUGUUCUUAUGCAUAUGUAUAUGUUUGUUUGCUUGUGCCUGUUCGUCUUCGCUUCGCGUUGCGAUUAGAUCGCGAUUCGUUUCCAAGCUUCGAGGAAUCGACAAUCAAGCUUUGACGACCAAGUGACCAACUCUUCGAAUUCUACAAAGUUGAAGACCCUGAGCAUUCGUUUGGUGAAGGCAAGUGUCCUCUGACUAUUAUGUCCCAUUUACUUUAUAAUUCAUCAACCCGCAUACCAUGAUCCACCUAAGGAUUGACUAGUAUUCUGUUUCCUGUCCUUGUUUACCCUUUGGGAAUUGAUUAUUAUGAUUAGUUCUAUGCUAGCGCUUUACUUUAAUCAAUGAACAUGAUGAGAUACAAUGAUGAUACUAUGAUUUUAUUCUGGAUAUGAUGAUAUACUUGUGGAAUUUAAGGGGACUCGAGUGGUUUCUCGAGUGCCUCUCCGUAAGGACUGGUUCGUUGGAUGAUCGCCCGGGAAAACAGUGCAACCAUGAGGGUGGUAUGGGAUGCCCUUUGCUAAUUAAUUAGAGGAACUGAGGUGUAGUUUGCUUCGCCGUCGUGCCGUCAAUGGGGCUCGGUGUAUGCGGCUCGCUCUGCCGAGGGUGGAUUGCCCCUUGGGGAGGAGUGCGGUACAUUUAGGAAACCUAAUGGGCGGCUACAGCCUCAGAGAAUUUUUGUAAGGGCUUCAUAGUGAAUCCCUGGCCAUUCACCUUGGGAGUGAACAAGGGUCUUGCAAGCCAGGGCUAGAAAGGGAAUCACGGCUUGUAGGUAAAGUGGGCAACCUCUGCAGAGUGUUAUAAAACUGAUAUAUCAGCCGUGCUCGCGGUUAUGAGCGGCCAAGGGAGCUCCAUUGAUUAGAGAGACAUUGAUCAGAGAUGUUUUAUUUACAGGUGAUAAUGAGGAUGAUGAUUUUGAUUAUGAUUAUAGUAAUGGUUUCUAGUAUUCUUUCUGUUUUGAAAGAGUACUUUUGGGUUAACAACUUGGGUUAAUGUUAAAACCUGGCUCUCUACUAGUAAUAAUUCCCUGAUCAACUAAAAGCAACUACUUGACCUUAACCCCACAUAAAGCUAGUCCACUACAGCCAAACGAGACAUUUGCUGAGUAUAUUGAUAUGUACUCACCCUUGCUUUCACAAAACACCAGGUUGCUUUUGGUGCCAUCUAUGCUUAGGUAAAUAAGAAGGCAUCGAGGUGGAUCUCCAGAGUUCCAGGACGUCGUUGAGUUCGAGGAUUAGGCUAGCGACCUCCCUCAGUCAGCUGCCUGUGGUGGGUUUGUUUACAUUGGCUACGUUUCAAUUCUGUGUACUUUGAUUUAUAUUAUGUAAAUGGCUCUAGUCUGUAAUAUUAUUACUUACUCUUUAUUGUUAUUCGAAGCAUUGUGCUAUGAUGAGUCAUUUAUGUAAUCGCUGUUACGUGAAUUUCUGAUCCUGGCACGUACAUGGUUCGCAUUCAGUUUGCCUUCUAAAACCGGGUGUGACACCACCUUAAGCCGAAGCUAUCAUCCUUCGGUGGUAGCUUCAGCAUUCGUUGUUAUAGCUCUCAUAUAAUAUCUUAUCUUCAUCUCGAGGACCUUCGGCAGGGAGGAUCCUCAACAUCACUUUGAUAGUGAUACCUUUGUCUUGUGGACCUUCGGCGGAGAAGAAGACCCCCAAUAGUAGCCCCUUCGCAGUGCUAGAUCGUUUUUUGAUAACGAGCUCGAUCCGCGAAAAGUACGAAGGCUUCAGGAUGCCGAAGGUCUGAAAACACUUUCCUCGAGCUUGUUAUUAAAAAACGAAUAUAAAAUUCACAGCGCUUACCAGUCCACCGAUCAGCCAGUACACGCGUCUCGGCGAUUCACCAUCUUCUCCUGUGGGGCUAUAUAAACAUACAAGUUGGUGAGAAGUUACCACAACAUUCAUUGCUAUUGCACCGUUGUGCUACUGAAUUUUUUUACUGAAGCCGAAGCUUGCUGCUUUACACUUUGGACAAACAUUCCAUCGCUUAAGUGUAACUUUGUCUGUUAAAGACUGAAAACUGAAAAGACUAGAGUAAGAUCUACAUGUAAGCAACAAAGUGAAUUUAGGGUGUUAUUGUCUUUUCCCUUCAUAGUCUUGAUAAACAAGUCUUUAGGAUUUCUCCCUCCCCUCGUCAGUUUCUUUAUCGUGUGUGCACGCCAUUAAGCCGAAGCUCACAGCUUCGUUUCCACAGCGGAGGCAACUACAUGUCAUCUUGUACGAAGGUAGUGUUCGACAUUUUUACCCUGUUAAACCUGAAAUGGACUCAUAAGUAAAUUAUACCCCAAUGUUUUUCAGGACCUUCAGCUAAGGAAGACCCCCAACAAGCAUCUUCAUCCCUCGCUUUAAACCCUUAGCCUAGAACCCCCUUGGACUCAUACAACGGGGGAUGGAGGAAUAUAGAGGAAUUUUCACAUUUUUUUACUAAAGAUAUGUAACACUAUAUUAAGAUUUAUAUAUUCAAUAAAGGACCUAUAUGUAUAUUUGGAUAUUUGUAUGUUUUGUAUAUGCUCAUAUCCAUUGGGCAUGACUUGUAUGUGCAUAUGUUUAUUAAUGUACUCUGUGUCAAUACCAUAGCUUUGCAUAGAAAGCUAAAAAGAACUUGGUCCGAAGGGAAAUAGCUGACCUCGCGAUAUUAUAUUAAAAGAAAGUUUAAUCGAAGCCUAACCAAGAAAGAUCAUGAAAGUUGACUCUCUGUAUAGCAUGACUACAUGAGGUUCCACCUCGUAUAAACCAAAUUUUUACUCGUGCUACAUACUUUAUAGAAGUUCAUCAAACUUAAGGUAAUUUCCUGUGGGAUAUAUAAUAUACAAAUCUAUGAUAUUUGAGAGAAAGUCGUACAUGGAAAACUUCGCUCACAUGAAAAAAAAACAUUGAAACGACAGUAUAAGACUACUUGACAAAUACAAGGCCACACAUUUAUUCCAUUAUUAUUUCCUCAUAAAUACAAGGCCACACAUUUAUUCUGCAACACACGCAGACGUGAGAGAGAGAUCAAAUAGACUUGAAGGACAUGAGCUGGCGUUUUUUGGUGGAGUUUGGCAACGGAUCAAACACAACUGCUUGGUAAGACUGCUUGGUAAGACGACGUUGGAUCUUUGGUUGCGAGGUUGAGCUUGUAGUUGGUGCCGGCGACCACCUGUUCCAUGCCACUGACCACCUCGGCGAACUCCAAGCUCUCGCCAGUCUGCCUGUUGUGCUCCUUGACAGCCCAUUCGCCGACACCCUGGACAUAUGGGUCCUUGACGUUCUCUAUUUUGACAUACUGUCCGCUCAGCGUGGUGACACCUGCAGCUCUAGCAGACCUCCAGAUGGCUACGGAUGAUCCAGUGCAGCAGCGGUGGCGGCCAACAACACCAUGGCUCGGCGACGCCCACGAGCUCCGUCGGCCACAUAUGCUUGCUCUUCCUGCAGGUGCUCGUUAGAUUUGGCGGUCGCGGCCCUGACCACGACCAGGCUGCGGUGGCAGCGAGGAGCGG